GGGCCCGCACAAGCGGCGGAGCAUGCGGAUUAAUUCGAUGCAACGCGAAGAACCUUACCAAGGCUUGACAUAUAGAGGAAAAGUGUAGAAAUACACUCCCCGCAAGGUCUCUAUACAGGUGGUGCAUGGUUGUCGUCAGCUCGUGUCGUGAGAUGUUGGGUUAAGUCCCGCAACGAGCGCAACCCUCGUCCUAUGUUGCCAGCACGUAAUGGUGGGAACUCAUGGGAUACUGCCGGGGUCAACUCGGAGGAAGGUGGGGAUGACGUCAAAUCAUCAUGCCCCUUAUGUCUUGGGCUUCACGCAUGCUACAAUGGCCGGUACAGAGGGCAGCGAUACCGCAAGGUGGAGCGAAUCCCAAAAAGCCGGUCUCAGUUCGGAUUGAGGUCUGCAACUCGACCUCAUG
RNAcentral lists this ribosomal RNA (403 nucleotides) under uncultured bacterium. RNAcentral's name for it is "bacterial SSU rRNA". It matches the Rfam family "Bacterial small subunit ribosomal RNA", at positions 917 to 1322 of the family's 1533-position model. The record is from RNAcentral.